GCAGGCCCUGUGCAUGACUGUGAUAGGGAGCGAGGUUCCUGGAGGCUCCAGGGCCGGGCGCCUGCUGGGGAGGCCCCACGGCCACUCUCUCUGCUGGCAUGGGGCACCGAGGCUGGGGUGUCCAGAUGUGCGGGCCCUGCCUGCACGCGGGGCUGGGGUGGUGGGGCCGGUCCAUGUCGCAGCACGCGAUUUCUGCCUGGCUCUGCGUCCUCGGGCUGUGGAGGGAGCAUCCCGGUGUCGGUGUCCCCCUGAGAGGUGCCCUUCUCGUAUUUGGGUCCCCGGUGCCAGCCCAGUUCUCAUCGACAGGAGAGAAGGCCGUGCGCAGACUCGGUGGAUGUUAGACAGCCUCGGAAGAGCCAAGAGUCCUCACCGUUCUGGACAGUGUCGCUGUUGGGGUGUGGCGUCCUGGCUCAGAGCUCCGCAUUCCUGUCCACCUGCGGCUGUCACCUUCACGAUGGUUCUGUGGGGCUGCGAGCUCCUGACCAUCUCAUCGCGUCUCCCAGAGCGGCUAGGCUGGAGCACUGAUGUGUCCAACAAGGUUUCAUUUCACACGAGGUUCUUCAUGCUUCUUUAUAUUACAGCUGGGGUGUGACAUACGGGGAUUUUAAAAAGUUAUGUGAGUAUAUAGGUUACAGCAUCCAUGGGCUACCUUUCAGAGUAUUAAGAAGGAUAUGACGUAUUUUUAACAUAAAAGGAAGGGGUCGGGGUGAGAGUGCUGGGACCUGGGGUUUCGAGCUCCAACGAAGUUGUAAAAAUUCGGACGUCGAUGUCAGGGGCUCAGGACACAUUUGACAGGUGAACGAAUGAAUGCCUGGGGACAUAUUGUUGAAGGGGCUCUUUGAUGCCUUCAUGUACCACCCACAGGUGACCUCUUGUCUGGGCCCGCGUGAGGUAUUCUGCCCCCAGUUCCAGAACCUUCUAAGUUCCAGAACCAGCUAAGCACGAGACCGCCUUGGUCCUGGUAGCCAGCUCCUGGCUGGGUCAGAAGCUGCUCAGGAGAACUUUGUCCCUCCCCACGGGGUCCCUGAGCAGAUCUGAAGGCCCAGCCCGAGCUGGACCAGGCCCGCGGUCCUGCCAUCAGGGACCCUGCAGCUUCCGGGAUGCGAGCGGGACUCCCGGCCAGUCGGAGGGAGAAAUACUUGUCAAAAGAUCUCCAAACUGGGCGGGAGCAUGGACGCUUCUGCCCCUCUGUUCCUUCCUGCCCAGGGCGGGUAGCAUGGUCGACAGUCCAGCACGGCCCCUCCACAUCGGUGCUGGACACCCAGUCCACUCACUGAGCGUCUUCUUCUUUCCUUUGCUAACCCCACAUCACUCUAUUACUCUGUAAUUUGUUUUUAUGCUAAAUAACGUGUUUGGGACAAUUUUCCCGGGCUGCGCAUACACACCAGCUGCUGGUCAUUCUGGAGAUACCCCUCCAUCUAUUUGUCUUUAAGUUUUUCUGUUAAACUGUUUUUUCCCAUGGAAAGAAUACAUGCAUGUGGUUAAAAAAUAAUAAAAAGCAAAUGUCUCUAUUUUCCCAAACCCUCCAAGUUUGCUUCUCAUUUUUCGGAAUGAAACUUUAAGAAAUACACUCCUAGCACAACCAGAAGGACCUACCAUGAGAAUAUACGGCUAUGUACUGAGGGGGGCUUUGGGGAAAAGAAGGAAAAGAAAAAAAAAA
Equus caballus (horse) is the source of this 1660-nucleotide long non-coding RNA. Lineage: Eukaryota; Metazoa; Chordata; Mammalia; Perissodactyla; Equidae. The record is from Ensembl.